UCCGUAAAGAAGUGAAAGACUCAAAGGAG
Molecule: non-coding RNA, 29 nt
Filed under: Rattus norvegicus (Norway rat)
Lineage: Eukaryota; Metazoa; Chordata; Mammalia; Rodentia; Muridae
Source: RNAcentral